AUACAUGCAAGUCGAGCGAACAGAUGAGAAGCUUGCUUCUCUGAUGUUAGCGGCGGACGGGUGAGUAACACGUGGGUAACCUACCUAUAAGACUGGGAUAACUCCGGGAAACCGGGGCUAAUACCGGAUAAUAUUUUGAACCGCAUGGUUCAAUAGUGAAAGACGGUUUCGGCUGUCACUUAUAGAUGGACCCGCGCCGUAUUAGCUAGUUGGUAAGGUAACGGCUUACCAAGGCGACGAUACGUAGCCGACCUGAGAGGGUGAUCGGCCACACUGGAACUGAGACACGGUCCAGACUCCUACGGGAGGCAGCAGUAGGGAAUCUUCCGCAAUGGGCGAAAGCCUGACGGAGCAACGCCGCGUGAGUGAUGAAGGUCUUCGGAUCGUAAAACUCUGUUGUUAGGGAAGAACAAAUUUGUUAGUAACUGAACAAGUCUUGACGGUACCUAACCAGAAAGCCACGGCUAACUACGUGCCAGCAGCCGCGGUAAUACGUAGGUGGCAAGCGUUAUCCGGAAUUAUUGGGCGUAAAGCGCGCGUAGGCGGUUUCUUAAGUCUGAUGUGAAAGCCCACGGCUCAACCGUGGAGGGUCAUUGGAAACUGGGAAACUUGAGUGCAGAAGAGGAGAGUGGAAUUCCAUGUGUAGCGGUGAAAUGCGCAGAGAUAUGGAGGAACACCAGUGGCGAAGGCGGCUCUCUGGUCUGUAACUGACGCUGAUGUGCGAAAGCGUGGGGAUCAAACAGGAUUAGAUACCCUGGUAGUCCACGCCGUAAACGAUGAGUGCUAAGUGUUA
Molecule: ribosomal RNA, 793 nt
Filed under: Mammaliicoccus sciuri
Lineage: Bacteria; Bacillati; Bacillota; Bacilli; Caryophanales; Staphylococcaceae
Description: bacterial SSU rRNA
Rfam family: Bacterial small subunit ribosomal RNA
Source: RNAcentral